UACGGGGGGGGCAAGCGUUGUUCGGAAUUACUGGGCGUAAAGGGCUCGUAGGCGGCCAACUAAGUCCGACGUGAAAUCCCCAGGCUUAACCUGGGAACUGCGUCGGAUACUGGAUGGCUUGAAUCCGGGAGAGGGAUGCAGAAUUCCAGGUGUAGCGGUGAAAUGCGUAGAUAUCUGGAGGAAUACCGGUGGCGAAGGCGGCAUCCUGGACCGGCAUUGACGCUGAUGAGCGAAAGCGUGGGGAGCGAACAGG
Molecule: ribosomal RNA, 253 nt
Filed under: uncultured bacterium
Lineage: Bacteria
Description: partial 16S ribosomal RNA
Rfam family: Bacterial small subunit ribosomal RNA
Source: RNAcentral